AAUCAACGCUGGCGGCGNGCCUAACACAUGCAAGUCGAACGAGAAAGGGGACUUCGGUCCCUGAGUACAGUGGCGCACGGGUGAGUAACACGUGACUUAUCUACCCUCGAGUGGGGAAUAACUUCGGGAAACCGAGGCUAAUACCGCAUAAUACCCACGGGUCAAAGGAGCAAUUCGCUUGAGGAGGAGGUCGCGGCCGAUUAGUUAGUUGGCGGGGUAAUGGCCCCACCCAAGACAGUGAUCGGUAUCCGGCCUGAGAGGGCGCACGGACACACUGGAACUGAAACACGGUCCAGACUCCUACGGGAGGCAGCAGUGGGGAAUUUUGCGCAAUGGGGGAAACCCUGACGCAGCAACGCCGCGUGGAGGAUGAAGUCUCUUGGGACGUAAACUCCUUUCGAUCGGGACGAUUAUGACGGUACCGGAAGAAGAAGCCCCGGCUAACUUCGUG
This 451-nucleotide ribosomal RNA is filed under the name uncultured bacterium. RNAcentral's name for it is "bacterial SSU rRNA". It matches the Rfam family "Bacterial small subunit ribosomal RNA", at positions 32 to 507 of the family's 1533-position model. The record is from RNAcentral.